GGCGAGUGAGCGGCAACAGCUCAAAUUUGAAAGCUAGCCUUCGGGUUCGCAUUGUAAUUUGUAGAGGAUGAUUUGGGGAAGCCGCCUGUCUAAGUUCCUUGGAACAGGACGUCAUAGAGGGUGAGAAUCCCGUAUGUGACAGGAAAUGGCACCCUAUGUAAAUCUCCUUCGACGAGUCGAGUUGUUUGGGAAUGCAGCUCUAAAUGGGAGGUAAAUUUCUUCUAAAGCUAAAUAUUGGCGAGAGACCGAUAGCGCACAAGUAGAGUGAUCGAAAGAUGAAAAGCACUUUGGAAAGAGAGUUAAAAAGCACGUGAAAUUGUUGAAAGGGAAGCGCUUGCAAUCAGACUUGUUUAAACUGUUCGGCCGGUCUUCUGACCGGUUUACUCAGUUUGGACAGGCCAGCAUCAGUUUCGGCGGCCGGAUAAAGGCUCUGGGAAUGUGGCCUCCACUUCGGUGGAGGUGUUAUAGCCCAGGGUGUAAUACGGCCAGCCGGGACUGAGGUCCGCGCUUCGGCUAGGAUGCUGGCGUAAUGGUUGUAAGCGACCCGUCUUGAAACACG
RNAcentral lists this ribosomal RNA (559 nucleotides) under Aureobasidium proteae. RNAcentral describes it as "eukaryotic LSU rRNA". It matches the Rfam family "Eukaryotic large subunit ribosomal RNA", at positions 88 to 663 of the family's 3401-position model. The record is from RNAcentral. Lineage: Eukaryota; Fungi; Ascomycota; Dothideomycetes; Dothideales; Saccotheciaceae.